This 4996-nucleotide long non-coding RNA is filed under the name Medicago truncatula (barrel medic). RNAcentral describes it as "long non-coding RNA (MTRU_LNC005631)". Lineage: Eukaryota; Viridiplantae; Streptophyta; Magnoliopsida; Fabales; Fabaceae. The record is from RNAcentral.
UGUAAAAAAUCUUCCAACAUGCAAACUGACCUUUAGAAGUUCAGUUGUCAGCAUGGUGAAGCCUACUGACUAAAUUUUAUCCUUAUUGGAUUGGAUUGUAAAUUGUAAUCAGAGAAAAAUUGAUUAGUGUAUUUUUAUCUUUGAAACUUGACCGGUUCAAGCACAGAUGGUAAUUUUAACCCUUUCUGGUUUAUUUAGAAGUGUAGAUCUGAUCUAGAAUACGGGUUCUGUGGUUUGAAUCUAAAUUGCCAAGGACAAAUGAUACCAAUAUAAAAAUGUGUAUAAAUUGAAUGAUUAUUAGAGCAUACUCAAAGAAUUAAAUUUCUUAGGAAGAUGAUUUUUGCAGUUUCAAUUGUCAUUUAGUCAUCAAACUGUAAUAUACUCAUUAGAUAUAUUGAUCGACUUUUCUAGAGUUUUAGAUAUUCUAUGGUUUGAAAUUAUGCUUUCUUUUAAUUUUUUUUUUAUAUUUUUUUUAUGGGAUAUCAUGACAAACAAUCCAUCUGAAAGUUAGGUGGAAAUAUUUACAUUUUGGCACUGGUAAUCAUGCAUCCUGUUUCCUUUUAUAUCUGUGGAAAAAUUUGCCUGGCAUUUUCAAGACUACUAUGUCAUACAUAGGAGAAUUUUGUUUCAUUCAUGAUAUUGCUCGUACAUCCCUUUCCCCCUGUGUAUGCCCUUGUUCUCUGUGAAAUUCAUCCAAAUUUUCAACUUCUAAUUCAUGCCAAAACUUCUAGUACAGUAGUUCAUUCAGCUUUCUUAAUCUUUUGCGGGUGUCAAUGUUGGGACUUUAGGUGUUGUCUAUUCUCCUUACUUAGCACCCCAAUGCUAACUAUGAAUAUGAUAUAGAUAAAGUGAUAAACUAAGAUUGACAAGAUUAUAACAAAUUUGAUUUGACAACAAAGGAAAUUCUUUGCCAGCCAGAUAGUUUUGAAUUGCUUAUUUAAUAAUCAAUAGUAAUACCAUAUCUAAUUAAGAGCUAGUGCUAGAAGUCCUGCUGCCUAUAAACUCUAGGAAUUACGGAUGCCAUUUUUUACAUUCUUUAUGAUCGAGGUAUUUUAUAAUUAUAUUUUUAUACAACAUUGACACGUUUUAUUGUUAGUAAUAACAUCAUACAAGCAAAUAACAUUUACUUUUUUCACAUGGUCAAAUAACAUUUGCUGAGAUCAAUGAAUUGGGAUGAAAUGUUGUUAUAUGAUAAAAUAUUAAAUAGUACUGUACUAAUGCUGCUUCUGUUGUUUGUUAACUGUCGCAUAACAAUCUUGUAGCAAAUAAUAAAAUAAUAAUUAGUAGAGAAGGAAAUCAAGUCAUUGAGUUAUAUAUUAAUAAUUUAAAUAACAAUUAGGAUCCGUUGACACCAGGUAUGAAACUUUAGUUUGAUACCAAAUCUCAGCUGUCUACUUUUUAAAUCUAAAGGCCCGUGAUUAUUUGUUAAUUUAAGUAAAGGCGAGCCUUUCUCUCUCAACUCUCUUAACAACAAGCUUUUUCUUUUUGGCCCGAUAUUUGUUAACUUUACAAAGUUUGAAACAGAACAAAUUAAAGCAUCUAUGUUCAUAAUGAUCUCCACUACGAGUUCAAUUUUAUUUGGAAGGUUUUCUAUUUUACCAAAACCACCCAACUGAUUUUAAAUAUAUGUUUUCAGAUAUGAAAUUGCUGGGAGUAUUUCAAUUAUUAAAUCAGCAAAGUUUGUGCAACUCAUUCCCAAACCUUAAAUUCCAUCAAUCGAGAAACACUCAUUCAAAAUAACUUCCUCUACGUGUAAUUGAUUUCAUAAAUUUUACAUGAAUUGUCUAAUUAGGUUGCAAUUCAUUUGAGAAAUUAAUCAAUGUGAAUGAAGUUUGAUUGAUUGCAUAUAGAUAUCUGAUGAGUGGAUAUGGCACACUUUCAAGUUUGAUUGACUACACUUACGAAAUAGAGACUCGUGUGGGUUAAUUUAUAAAACUAUUAUUUUCCUUUGGAUUAAAAAAUUAAACAGCUGAGAUUUGAUGUCAAACUAAAGUUUGACAUGUGGUGUCAACUGACCCCGACUCUUUAAAUAAUAGCUAAACUAUAAUGAUAUUAUACAAUAUUAAGUAGUCAACUAGGCACUAACCAUGGGGCUGUAAUUUUUGUCAUUCUGGUCGGAAGGGGUUUGUCAUUUGAGUAUUUAUUAGGAGGUCAUACACUUAAUAAUUGUCACUGGUGUAAAAAGGGUGCCAGUGUUUUCUUACCAGUGCUUUUUUUAUUAAAAUGAAAACCUUAUCAAGUAUGGGAAAUAUUAUUGGAUUGGGUCUUCAGCUAUUCUUGAAAAACAAGAUACAUUGUCCUGAUGGAGAGAUAGUCAUAACUUUUUUGGGCCUGUUCCAUUUGUUCUAUUGCGGACCUUUUUUAUGUUUGUCUUUCUUUAGUCUCUUGGGCUAAUGACAUAAAAAGGGGAAUAUAAUUUGUUUGUCUUUUCAUUGACUUAGUUAAAACAACUUGGAUUAUAAAUUGGAAAAAAGGGAAUAACAUCAAGAGAUCAGAAGAAGGAAGACUGUUUUCUUUCUUUUUCUUCUUGAAUGACAAUUGAGAAAAAAUCUUCGAGUGAGGGAUCAAAGGUUUCAGAGAAAAUCUUCGAGUGAGGGGUCAAGGGUUCAAGAGAAAAUCUUCGAGUGAGGGAUCAAGGGUUCGAGAGAAAAUAGAGCGUAGAAAGCUUGAGUUCUUUGUUGUUCAUCCUGGACAUAAAAGGGGCAAGAGUUAUCUGUAACCGAAUUCAUGUGGGUUCAUUUCCUUCUCUUAAUUAAUGUUGCAUUUAAUUUUGCAUUUUAUUCUUGCUGCUGCAAUUUGAUUUCUGUGAUCCUUGUUAUUUCCUGCUGCUACAGUGCAUUCUGUUUUUCAUUGCUUUGUUUCUGCACCUAUCAUGCCUUUUAGUUUUAUGAGUUUCUGUCAAUUGCGCUGCUGCUGCAUAUUUUUCUGGUUCCGUGUUUCUGCAUAAUCUGCAAUUGCUGCGCAAAUUUGCUUCUGAUGUAUUAGUGAUUCUAGUUUUGGUGCUUUUGGUUUGUGUCAGUUUCUGCAUACCUGCAUGCGUUUAGGCUUCCUCGUAGUUUCUUGUUUAAUGCAAAUACUGCAUAAUUGCAUUUCUGUUUUCACAUUUCUUCAGUUAAUGUUAUUGCUGUUUUUGGAUUUCAUUUGUGCGUAAUAAAUUCUUUAAGUUCUUCUAAUUGACUGGUUAGAACCAACAACUAAAUAUAAAGGACAAAAUUUGGCUAUCCAUGAUAAUUUGGCUGAAUGGAUUUGUCAGUUAGUCUAUAGGGAUUUUUCAGUUGUAUGGUUAUCCAUGAAAAUUUGGUGGAAUGGAUUUGUUGUCCGACUCUAAUCUCCUUUGCUGCAACUUUCCCUUUACCCUCGGAACUUAUUUUUCAUCAUGUGGGCGUGACUUGGGGUGAAAACUGAAAGUAGUUGGGUGUUGAUAUAUGCGGUCAAAUAUUCCACUUGUUUGUUUAGUAAUUUCGCAAGUGUUUGAUAAAUGAAGGGAUUUCAUUUUCGCUGGCUGCUCCACUUGUGUUAAAAACUUAAUGUGCUGAAAAUCUUGGCCUGUUAAAUAGAGUUUAAGCUUUACUAUUCCACUCUUUUUUUUUUUUGGUCAAACAAGUAGAUAUUUCAUUCAUUGAUAGCUAAAUAGCUAGUGAUUACACUGUGUAUAGAAAAGUGCUCACUAUUGGGGUCAAGUACAGCAUCACUGCAAAAUCCAACAAAUACAUCAUUAAACAAUAGACUUGCUCCUGACUUAUGCAUCUAACAAAUCAUGGUAACAUAGCUUAGCUAAGAAAAAAAUACCCACGUACAUCAAAGGGCAUCAUGAACCCUUCAUAAUACAACACAGUUUCAAGAUAAACUCCUAAUAAACAAGAACAACAUAUACACCAGUAUAGCUGAUAAAAAAGAAACAAACACAAAUGGAAGAUGUUUUGGAGUUAUAGCAUCUUCUGGUACCGCAAAAGCUUGAAGGCCGAUGUCUCAAACCCAAAAGUGAGCGACCUGCAUAGUAGAUGUUAGGCAGUAGAUCCAGCUCAAAAGAAACGGCAAACGGUGACCCUGUUUAAAAAACAUCAGAUCCGAAAACAACUUACAAACAUAGGACGAAAAACAACUAAGAUUAAGAUAGAUCUAUAUUAACACUUAAAAUGGAGACCACACAGAGAAAUAAAGGCAGAUCUGGUGGAUCUGGCUUUCAAAGGGCCGAAUCCAGAUGGAGGGGUGGUGGGGGUUUCGGUGGCGGACGGUACAACGCAAGUGGUUGUAUGGGUGGUGGCUCACCACCACCACCGUUAACCGAAAGAAUCGCAGCAAACAGAGAACACAACAACGGUAUGCUUCACAUGAGAGAAAGCGUCAAAGAGUGGAGAGAGAGACGAGAAUGAAUGGUAGAAAAAACAGUGUUUAUUACACAAAAAAAAAACUAGCAACCUAGUGGAAGCGGCGGCUCUAGGGAAGAAACCCUAAACCGUGAAAACAACUCUUGAGCUAACACAGCGUGUAUAAACUUUAAACUUGCUCAUCAUUUAGCGCACUCCCCUUGAAUGUGAAUGGGUUUGUUGUUGGGUUAUGACAAAUUUGUAGGCUAGCUUAUUCCCAAGUUUGUUGGUUGUUUACGUCCCAAGUUUGAGCUUAGCAGCUUUCCCAUUGGCUUGGGGUGUGUUUAGUUUGGCGUUUGGAAACGCACAUCCAGUUUUGUUUUGCUAUGAUUUCCUAUAAGAUACAAAACAAAGCUUCUUCGUAAAAGCGAUGGCUUGCUGCAAAAAUCUACAUAGACGUAGUAAGCUUGCUGCAAAACCAAACAUAUAGUUAAUGAUUUAUAAUUGUUGAAUAGUGGAGAAACAAGAUCAAAGGGUGGCAUUCCGUAAAAAAAAUAAUUAUAAUAAUCAAAGGAUGGCAUGAAAAGUUGUUUACUUGUAUUAUUUUUCUUUGGACUGAAUGUUGUGUGACAAAAAAUGAAAACUAGAUUUGCAUAUGGCUCAUGUGAAAAUUGAUAUUAUUACGUGCA